This 421-nucleotide ribosomal RNA is filed under the name uncultured bacterium. RNAcentral describes it as "bacterial SSU rRNA". It matches the Rfam family "Bacterial small subunit ribosomal RNA", at positions 355 to 773 of the family's 1533-position model. The record is from RNAcentral.
UGAGGAAUAUUGGUCAAUGGGCGAGAGCCUGAACCAGCCAAGUCGCGUGAAGGAAGAAGGUUCUAUGGAUUGUAAACUUCUUUUGUAAGGGAAUAAAAAGUGGUACGUGUACCAUAUUGUAUGUACUUUACGAAUAAGGAUCGGCUAACUCCGUGCCAGCAGCCGCGGUAAUACGGAGGAUCCAAGCGCUAUUCGGAUUUAUUGGGUUUAAAGGGUGCGUAGGCGGAUCUUUAAGUCAGUGGUGAAAGUUUGCGGCUCAACCGUAAAAUUGCCGUUGAAACUGAAGAUCUUGAGUGUAAGUGAGGUAGGCGGAAUGUGUUGUGGAGCGAUGAAAUGCAUAGAUAUAGCACAGAACACCAAUUGCGAAGGCAGCUUACUGGGAUACAACUGACGCUGAGGCACGAAAGCGUGGGGAUCAAAC